GACGAACGCUGGCGGCGUGCUUAACACAUGCAAGUCGAACGGAAAGGCCCUGCUUGCAGGGUACUCGAGUGGCGAACGGGUGAGUAACACGUGGGUGAGCUGCCCUCCACUUCGGGAUAAGCCUGGGAAACUGGGUCUAAUACCGGAUAGGUGCCAUUUUUAGUGUGAUGGUUGGAAAGUUUUUUCGGUGUAGGAUGAGCUCGCGGCCUAUCAGCUUGUUGGUGGGGUAAUGGCCUACCAAGGCGGCGACGGGUAGCCGGCCUGGGAGGGUGGACGGCCACAUUGGGACUGAGAUACGGCCCAGACUCCUACGGGAGGCAGCAGUGGGGAAUAUUGCACAAUGGGCGCAAGCCUGAUGCAGCGACGCCGCGUGGGGGAUGACGGCCUUCGGGUUGGAAACUCCUUUCGCUAGGGACGGAGCUUUUUGUGACGGUACCUAGAUAAGAAGCACCGGCUAACUACGUG
This 465-nucleotide ribosomal RNA is filed under the name uncultured bacterium. RNAcentral describes it as "partial 16S ribosomal RNA". It matches the Rfam family "Bacterial small subunit ribosomal RNA", at positions 28 to 507 of the family's 1533-position model. The record is from RNAcentral.